Lactuca sativa (garden lettuce) is the source of this 205-nucleotide small nucleolar RNA. RefSeq annotates it as small nucleolar RNA U3. NCBI's taxonomy places the organism in Eukaryota, Viridiplantae, Streptophyta, Magnoliopsida, Asterales, Asteraceae. The record is from RefSeq and is a predicted model, not a curated record.
AAGACCUUACUUGAACAGGAUCUGUUCUAUAGGCUCGUACCUCUGUAUUCUUGGUUCCUAAGAAGACAGAAACCCAUAUCUGGUUGAUGAAUCAGGACCAUGUAACCAGAGCGUGAUUAACGGAUUGGUCAUGGCAUCGGUAGAUGAUCGUUGUCAGCUCAUCUUCGAUGUGUUCUGGCAUGGUUAUAUGGUUGUCUGACAGAUA